GCCGAUGUGGCUCAAUUGGUAGAGCGACUGAUUUGUAAUCAGUAGGUCAUGGGUUCGAUUCCUGUCAGCGGCACCA
This 76-nucleotide transfer RNA is filed under the name Deltaproteobacteria bacterium. RNAcentral's name for it is "tRNA-Thr". It matches the Rfam family "tRNA". From Rfam's summary of the family: Transfer RNA (tRNA) molecules are approximately 80 nucleotides in length. Their secondary structure includes four short double-helical elements and three loops (D, anti-codon, and T loops). Further hydrogen bonds mediate the characteristic L-shaped molecular structure. tRNAs have two regions of fundamental functional importance: the anti-codon, which is responsible for specific mRNA codon recognition, and the 3' end, to which the tRNAs corresponding amino acid is attached (by aminoacyl-tRNA synthetases). tRNAs cope with the degeneracy of the genetic code in two manners: having more than one tRNA (with a specific anti-codon) for a particular amino acid; and 'wobble' base-pairing, i.e. permitting non-standard base-pairing at the 3rd anti-codon position. Lineage: Bacteria; Pseudomonadati; Myxococcota; Myxococcia. The record is from RNAcentral.